CGCAUCACUGGUGUUCGGGUUGUCAUGCCAAUGGCACUGCCCGGUAGCUAAAUGCGGAAGAGAUAAGUGCUGAAAGCAUCUAAGCACGAAACUUGCCCCGAGAUGAGUUCUCCCUGAGACUUAGAGUCUCCUGAAGGAACGUUGAAGACGACGACGUUGAUAGGCCGGGUGUGUAAGCGCAGCGAUGCGUUGAGCUAACCGGUACUAAUGAACCGUGAGGCUUAACCUUAC
This 231-nucleotide ribosomal RNA is filed under the name Salmonella enterica subsp. enterica serovar Hartford str. CFSAN001075. Its description in RNAcentral is "partial 23S ribosomal RNA". It matches the Rfam family "Bacterial large subunit ribosomal RNA", at positions 2702 to 2925 of the family's 2925-position model. The record is from RNAcentral. Lineage: Bacteria; Pseudomonadati; Pseudomonadota; Gammaproteobacteria; Enterobacterales; Enterobacteriaceae.